This 254-nucleotide ribosomal RNA is filed under the name uncultured bacterium. Its description in RNAcentral is "partial 16S ribosomal RNA". It matches the Rfam family "Bacterial small subunit ribosomal RNA", at positions 524 to 776 of the family's 1533-position model. The record is from RNAcentral.
UACGUAGGGGGGCAAGCGUUGUCCGGAUUCAUUGGGCGUAAAGAGCGUGUAGGCGGCCAGGUAGGUCGGUUGUGAAAACUGGAGGCUCAACCUUCAGACGUCGACCGAAACCAUCUGGCUAGAGUCCGGGAGAGGAGAGUGGAAUUCCUGGUGUAGCGGUGAAAUGCGCAGAUAUCAGGAGGAACACCGGUGGCGAAGGCGGUUCUCUGGGCCUGUACUGACGCUGAGGAACGAAAGCGUGGGGAGCGAACAGG